This 79-nucleotide transfer RNA is filed under the name Chryseobacterium indologenes. RNAcentral's name for it is "tRNA-Phe(aaa)". The record is from RNAcentral. Lineage: Bacteria; Pseudomonadati; Bacteroidota; Flavobacteriia; Flavobacteriales; Weeksellaceae.
AAUAGCAAUACCUCAACAAGGAUAGAGCAUCCCGAUCAAAAAUCGGGACGGUCAAAGGUUCGAAUCCUUUCGCGAUCAC